GGCUAUCGCUCGGUCGUCAGCGCCUCGUCAGUUAUCUAGCAGGGUGUACCGGAUAACAUUAGGUAUCAAUCUAGCAGGUGAGGUUGACAUUUAGGCAGGUUUCAGUACUUUUACCCAACCCCUUACACUUUUACAUUAAAUAUAAUAUGAAAUCCUAUUUUUAACUUAAAAUCGCAAUUUCGAAUUCAUCACAGGACGUUUUGUCGAUUACAAUAAAAAUGUCCAGUAUUGUUCAAAAAUAAGAUGCUCUUUUAGUCUAUAGUAAAAAGACGAAGUAAUUCUUGAAGUUGCAUUUUAGUACCUAUUUAUAUUUUCAUAACUGAGAGCGCCUAUUUGAUUUCAAUUGAAUUUAUUCUUAGCAUUUUUUUCAUUUUACUAGAAAGAGUGGUAUACAAAAACAUAAUUGUGUCAAGAAGAAUGUCAGUUUAAUCAACUGACUUGGUGCCCCAGCAAAAUGUCCGGUGUUCCGUGUUGGAAAUAGAUUGAUUUCAUUGUUUCAAUAAUUGUUCCCUGUAUAUAAUUUUAUAUUUUGGAUGUUUGUGUUACAACAGAGAUGUCAUAAAAUAUUAAAAUAUAAUUCUCUGAAAGCUGUCACAAACUAUUUUCAAUCGAAGUUUUUCAAGGAAAUAAGUGAAGAUACAACAUUUGGCGACCAUGAUAAUGUAAAGUUUUAAGAAAGAACGAGAUUUAAUUAGAAAACACUUCAUGAAAACGUCUGCAGAAAUCGACCUAAAAAUGAACGACAAAUGAUGACGUGUUAUCCCUUUUGAGACAAUUAGAAGACAAGGGUGACCGCUUAUUCUCUGCAGAUGAAAACAUCAGAUGUAUGCUACUAACUGAUGGUGCCAAAGAAGCAGAUUUGGAAAAGGAAUUUGACAGGUAGAAUUCUACCGAGAUGAGUUCAUAAGGCAAAGAUCCAAAUGUGAAGUUCAGUUGAAGAAGAUACCUGAAGACCAAGCAACAUCCCAGGAAUGUAGCAGUAAGAAGCAUAAGUGGAAAUUCCGUCUUCCCAAAAUCGAACUCAAAAAAUUCGACGGAAAUGUCAAGAAUUGGAUUUGAUUGUGAGGACAGUUCUGACAAAUCCAUAAAGACAAGGAAAUCGAUCUUGAAGACAUAUUACAGUACCUGCAGGCAACAGAUUCAGCUCCAAGAGAACUAGUGGAGAGAUUUCCUCCAUCAGGGGCCUAUAACACGUUAGCUAUGGACCAGAUGAACGCCAGGGGUAACAAGGGAAAAGUAUACAGCAAUUUUAUUUCCUCUGGUAGAGUCUGCAUUACCGAACGAUACCUUACAAGCAUGGGAAAGAUAUCGCAGUACAAAUAACUUGUCUGACAGGAUGAAUAAAGUAUUAUUAUUAUCCUAUAAUGUGUGCAGAUCUAGAAUUGAAGAAACGAAAAAAAGAUGAUGAAAAUCUGGAAGUAGAAAAUAGUUUAAUUAGUAAUUUAUCAAAUACAAUUUUAAUUUCA
Harmonia axyridis is the source of this 1466-nucleotide long non-coding RNA. RefSeq lists it as uncharacterized. NCBI's taxonomy places the organism in Eukaryota, Metazoa, Arthropoda, Insecta, Coleoptera, Coccinellidae. The transcript is spliced from 2 exons. The record is from RefSeq and is a predicted model, not a curated record.